Small nuclear RNA from Lynx canadensis (Canada lynx), 164 nucleotides. Its record names the gene U1. It matches the Rfam family "U1 spliceosomal RNA". From Rfam's summary of the family: U1 is a small nuclear RNA (snRNA) component of the spliceosome (involved in pre-mRNA splicing). Its 5' end forms complementary base pairs with the 5' splice junction, thus defining the 5' donor site of an intron. The record is from Ensembl. Lineage: Eukaryota; Metazoa; Chordata; Mammalia; Carnivora; Felidae.
AUACUUACCUGGCAGGGGAGAUACCAUGAUCAGGAAGGUGGUUUUCCCAGGGCGAGGCCUAUCCAUUGCACUCGGGAUGUGCUGACCCCUGCGAUUUCCCCAAAUGUGGGAAACUCGACUGCAUAAUUUGUGGUAGUGGGGGACUGCGUUCGCGCUCUCCCCUG